GGAGAGUUGGCCGAGCGGUUUAUGGCGCUAGUCUUGAAAACUAGUGGGCGCAAGCCCUCACAGGUUCGAAUCCUGUACUCUCCG
This 84-nucleotide transfer RNA is filed under the name bacterium. RNAcentral's name for it is "tRNA-Ser". It matches the Rfam family "tRNA". Rfam says of the family: Transfer RNA (tRNA) molecules are approximately 80 nucleotides in length. Their secondary structure includes four short double-helical elements and three loops (D, anti-codon, and T loops). Further hydrogen bonds mediate the characteristic L-shaped molecular structure. tRNAs have two regions of fundamental functional importance: the anti-codon, which is responsible for specific mRNA codon recognition, and the 3' end, to which the tRNAs corresponding amino acid is attached (by aminoacyl-tRNA synthetases). tRNAs cope with the degeneracy of the genetic code in two manners: having more than one tRNA (with a specific anti-codon) for a particular amino acid; and 'wobble' base-pairing, i.e. permitting non-standard base-pairing at the 3rd anti-codon position. The record is from RNAcentral.